This is a long non-coding RNA of Branchiostoma floridae (Florida lancelet), 1457 nucleotides long. RefSeq lists it as uncharacterized. The record is from RefSeq and is a predicted model, not a curated record. The transcript has 3 exons. Lineage: Eukaryota; Metazoa; Chordata; Leptocardii; Amphioxiformes; Branchiostomatidae.
AUAUCGAGUGAGUCACGACCUGUCAUUCAAAUGUCAAUCAACUGUUUCUUCGGAUUGCACCUGGUGGCUUUCUCACGGUGUGGAUUUCCGGGGAGAAAUCGCAGGAGUAACGUUUUUCACGUCUUCAAAGAAAGCUCGUGAUUGGAUUAUUUCCACGUGAUUCUCUCUUCUCUCUGGUUCUUUAAGUCUCGUAUUGGCUGUCACUAGGAUGUGGUGAUACAGAAAACCGCCUUCGGGUUCGUCGUCAGCGGCAGAUUUUCCCACAUGAAGGUUGACAGGAGGAUCGGAAAGGCCACAUGCUCACGUAGCAAGACUCGAGUGCUGGAGAACUCUGGCAAAUUGUCCGUCAACAACAACAACAAGACGAAGAUGGAGGGGUACGCUGCAUGCGUUAUCGGCACACUGAAGGAGUGGAACUUUGUAAACCUGUGCAAAGCAGGAGAAAUUCAUAGAAUGAAUGCCUUCCUCGUGAGAUGCAUCUGCCGUUUCCUGAGAAUAUGGUGGAAGGAAAAAUCCUGAACACACUAAGUGUUGUGCCGUGCCGGCCUCCCAAACAGUACAGCGCAGACAUCGCUGGCCAGGCCACGUUCUUUGAAUCUCGAAACAAUCUCUACGGAGAAGUCGGGUCACUGGUAAGGUUGUCGUCCGAAGACAUCUACAAAAGGGACUGGAAGGUCAUCACAAGUUAUCGAUCCAGUUUGAAACACAUACUGUCCAGAAAGCACGACUGAGAAGCAAGGAAUGAUUGCCUCCACCUGGCCACCGAUCCUUAACUUCUCCGGCCAGGUAAGGUAACUCAACUCAGCGCCCGCCUGCUCCUACCGUCGUCAUGUCGCUGGACGAUCGCCCAAACAGUGGACGCUGAAAACGAGGUCGGGGCUGUAGGAUGAUGUCAGGAGCAGGAUUAUCAUGAAGAAGGGACGACGAGGAGCGGAUAUGAGAUGAAGCGAUAGGUCGGGCUAGAGCGAUCCACACAGCUCCUACCACCGCAAGGGAUGUUGCUGAUGCCUAUCACUGGACGACGAGCUGUAUCACUGAAGGGAACGACGUCCGUGUGCAAAUUGCAACGAUGGGACCGAAGGUGGGGGCCGUGCAAAACCCGGAACAACGUCGCCCUACAGAACAAGGCCAUGAGAAGGAAGUGCCAGACCGGAGCAGAGCCACGUACAGCCAAGCGAUUGCACUGCUACAACUAUCGAAAAAAUGACACCAGUUAGAGAAUUCAUGGACUGACGUUCACGUGUUGUCUGCGUUAUUUGACUUAUACGAAUAUGUAUUGUCUAUUCUAUCAUGUGUAUCAAAGAAUAUACAUUCAAGUAGUGUAAUUGACUCAGACGAAGACGGGCAAAAUCAAACUAAGGGUGGAUUUUCGAAUGAAAACGAUACAAACGUACGUAAGGUCUCAUUGAUGAGUUUUUAACUGCAUUGGAAAUAAUGCAGAGAUACGUGUUUUACAU